UCCCUGGUGGUCCAGAGGCUAACACUCUGCACUCCCAAUGCAGGGGACCUGGGUUCAAUCCCUGGCCAGGGAA
Molecule: transfer RNA, 73 nt
Filed under: Bos taurus (domestic cattle)
Lineage: Eukaryota; Metazoa; Chordata; Mammalia; Artiodactyla; Bovidae
Rfam family: tRNA
About the family: Transfer RNA (tRNA) molecules are approximately 80 nucleotides in length. Their secondary structure includes four short double-helical elements and three loops (D, anti-codon, and T loops). Further hydrogen bonds mediate the characteristic L-shaped molecular structure. tRNAs have two regions of fundamental functional importance: the anti-codon, which is responsible for specific mRNA codon recognition, and the 3' end, to which the tRNAs corresponding amino acid is attached (by aminoacyl-tRNA synthetases). tRNAs cope with the degeneracy of the genetic code in two manners: having more than one tRNA (with a specific anti-codon) for a particular amino acid; and 'wobble' base-pairing, i.e. permitting non-standard base-pairing at the 3rd anti-codon position.
Source: Rfam by way of RNAcentral